UGGGGAAUCUUGCACAAUGGGGGCAACCCUGAUGCAGCGACGCCGCGUGAGCGAUGAAGCCCUUCGGGGCGUAAAGCUCUUUCGACCGGAACGAUAAUGACGGUACCGGGAGAAGAAGCUGCGGCUAACUACGUGCCAGCAGCCGCGGUAAUACGUAGGCAGCAAGCGUUGUUCGGAGUUACUGGGCGUAAAGAGUGCGUAGGCGGUUUUCUAAGUUCGGUGUGAAAUCUCCCGGCUUAACUGGGAGGGUGCGCCGAAGACUGGGAAGCUGGAGUGUGGGAAAGGCAGGCGGAAUUCCUGGUGUAGCGGUGAAAUGCGUAGAUAUCAGGAGGAACACCGGCGGUGUAGACGGCUUGCUAGACCAUAACUGACGCCGAGGCACGAAAGCGUGGGUAGCAAACA
RNAcentral lists this ribosomal RNA (402 nucleotides) under uncultured bacterium. RNAcentral's name for it is "bacterial SSU rRNA". It matches the Rfam family "Bacterial small subunit ribosomal RNA", at positions 355 to 774 of the family's 1533-position model. The record is from RNAcentral.